GGGGAAUUUUGGACAAUGGGGGCAACCCUGAUCCAGCCAUGCCGCGUGAGUGAAGAAGGCCUUCGGGUUGUAAAGCUCUUUCGGACGGAAAGAAAACGGAUGGGUUAAUACCCUGUUCGGAUGACGGUACCGUCAUAAGAAGCACCGGCUAACUACGUGCCAGCAGCCGCGCUAAUACGUAGGGUGCAAGCGUUAAUCGGAAUUACUGGGCGUAAAGCGUGCGCAGGCGGUUGAUUAAGACAGGCGUGAAAUCCCCGGGCUUAACCUGGGAACUGCGCUUGUGACUGGUCGGCUAGAGUACGGCAGAGGGGGGUGGAACUCCGAGUGUAGAGGUGAAAUUCGUAGAUAUUCGGAAGAACACCAGUGGCGAAGGCGGCCAACUGGCUCGAUACUGACGCUGAGGUGCGAAAGCGUGGGGAGCAAACA
RNAcentral lists this ribosomal RNA (426 nucleotides) under uncultured beta proteobacterium. RNAcentral describes it as "bacterial SSU rRNA". It matches the Rfam family "Bacterial small subunit ribosomal RNA", at positions 356 to 774 of the family's 1533-position model. The record is from RNAcentral. Lineage: Bacteria; Pseudomonadati; Pseudomonadota; Betaproteobacteria.